Molecule: non-coding RNA, 31 nt
Filed under: Mus musculus (house mouse)
Lineage: Eukaryota; Metazoa; Chordata; Mammalia; Rodentia; Muridae
Source: RNAcentral
UGACUACUAUGCUCGAAAACGAUUGGUGAUC